CCGACCUUGAAAUACCACCCUUUAAUGUUUGAUGUUCUAACGUUGACCCGUAAUCCGGGUUGCGGACAGUGUCUGGUGGGUAGUUUGACUGGGGCGGUCUCCUCCUAAAGAGUAACGGAGGAGCACGAAGGUUGGCUAAUCCUGGUCGGACAUCAGGAGGUUAGUGCAAUGGCAUAAGCCAGCUUGACUGCGAGCGUGACGGCGCGAGCAGGUGCGAAAGCAGGUCAUAGUGAUCCGGUGGUUCUGAAUGGAAGGGCCAUCGCUCAACGGAUAAAAGGUACUCCGGGGAUAACAGGCUGAUACCGCCCAAGAGUUCAUAUCGACGGCGGUGUUUGGCACCUCGAUGUCGGCUCAUCACAUCCUGGGGCUGAAGUAGGUCCCAAGGGUAUGGCUGUUCGCCAUUUAAAGUGGUACGCGAGCUGGGUUUAGAACGUCGUGAGACAGUUCGGUCCCUAUCUGCCGUGGGCGCUGGAGAACUGAGGGGGGCUGCUCCUAGUACGAGAGGACCGGAGUGGACGCAUCACUGGUGUUCGGGUUGUCAUGCCAAUGGCACUGCCCGGUAGCUAAAUGCGGAAGAGAUAAGUGCUGAAAGCAUCUAAGCACGAAACUUGCC
Molecule: ribosomal RNA, 613 nt
Filed under: Escherichia coli
Lineage: Bacteria; Pseudomonadati; Pseudomonadota; Gammaproteobacteria; Enterobacterales; Enterobacteriaceae
Description: partial 23S ribosomal RNA
Rfam family: Bacterial large subunit ribosomal RNA
Source: RNAcentral